Molecule: ribosomal RNA, 253 nt
Filed under: uncultured bacterium
Lineage: Bacteria
Description: partial 16S ribosomal RNA
Rfam family: Bacterial small subunit ribosomal RNA
Source: RNAcentral
UACGUAGGGGGCAAGCGUUGUCCGGAUUUAUUGGGCGUAAAGAGCGUGUAGGCGGCCAGACAGGUCCGUUGUGAAAACUGGAGGCUUAACCUUCAGACGUCGAUGGAAACCGUCUGGCUAGAGUCCGGAAGAGGAGAGUGGAAUUCCGGGUGUAGCGGUGAAAUGCGCAGAUAUCAGGAAGAACACCAAUGGCGAAAGCAGCUCUCUGGGACGGUACUGACGCUGAGACGCGAAAGCGUGGGGAGCGAACAGG